This 494-nucleotide ribosomal RNA is filed under the name uncultured bacterium. Its description in RNAcentral is "partial 16S ribosomal RNA". It matches the Rfam family "Bacterial small subunit ribosomal RNA", at positions 28 to 507 of the family's 1533-position model. The record is from RNAcentral.
GACGAACGCUGGCGGCGCGCUUAACACAUGCAAGUCGAACGGAAAGGCCUGCUUUCCCUUGUGUAUUGCGGGUACUCGAGUGGCGAACGGGUGAGUAACACGUGAGUGAUCUGCCCCCAACUUGGGUAUAAGCCUGGGAAACUGGGUCUAAUUCCCGAUAGCACUGCAGGGUGGUGCCUGUGGUGGAAAACGAUUUUCUAGUGGUUGGGGAUGAGCUCGCGGCCUAUCAGCUUGUUGGUGGGGUAAUGGCCUACCAAGGCGGCGUCGGGUAGCCGGCCUGGGAGGGUGGACGGGCACAUUGGGACUGAGAUACGGCCCAGACUCCUACGGGAGGCAGCAGUGGGGAAGAAUGCACAGUGGGCGGAAGCCUGAGGCAGCGACGCUGCGUGGGGGAUGACGGCCUUCGGGUUGUAAACUCCUUUCGACCGCGAGGAAGCCACCUGGUUGGAAGGGUGGUGACGGUAGUGGUAGAAGAAGCACCGGCUAACUACGUG